RNAcentral lists this transfer RNA (81 nucleotides) under Cordylochernes scorpioides. Its description in RNAcentral is "tRNA-Thr". Lineage: Eukaryota; Metazoa; Arthropoda; Arachnida; Pseudoscorpiones; Chernetidae. The record is from RNAcentral.
GUGUCCAGGGAUGGGAAUCGAACCUACAAUUUUCCGCUUACCGGGCAGAUGCUAUGUCCACUAGACUACUGUAAGACGACA